GCCUCGGUGAUGUAGUGGUAGCGCGCGCCAUCGGUAUGCGUGGAACAAGGGUUCAAAUCCCGUUUGAGGCC
Molecule: non-coding RNA, 71 nt
Organism: Parelaphostrongylus tenuis
Lineage: Eukaryota; Metazoa; Nematoda; Chromadorea; Rhabditida; Metastrongylidae
Source: the annotation of a GenBank genome assembly